RNAcentral lists this unclassified non-coding RNA (247 nucleotides) under plant metagenome. RNAcentral's name for it is "partial contains 5.8S ribosomal RNA, internal transcribed spacer 2, and large subunit ribosomal RNA". The stretch from base 1 to 115 matches the Rfam family "5.8S ribosomal RNA", at positions 50 to 154 of the family's 154-position model. The record is from RNAcentral.
GAAAUGCGAUAAGUAGUGUGAAUCGCAACUAACAGUGAAUCAUCGAAUCUUUGAACGCAGGCCGCACCUUGCAGCAUCAUUCGUGUUGCUACAAGGUAUAUACGUAUGAGUGUCAGUCCAAUAUCAUUUUGGCCCAAGAGGAUUAUAUAUUGUCCCAACUAUUUAUAAUACUCUUGGUUACAUGUUUAUAAUUUUAUUUUAAAUAUGUCUGGCCUCAUAUGUGUAAGGUUACCCGCUGGAUUUAAGC